CCCUUAGAUGUUCGGGGCCGCACGCGCGCUACACUGAAGGAAUCAGCACGUCUUUCUCCUUGUCCGAAAGGACUGGGUAACCCGCUGAACCUCCUUCGUGCUAGGGAUUGGGGCUUGUAAUUCUUCCCCAUGAACGAGGAAUUCCCAGUAAGCGCGAGUCAUAAGCUCGCGUUGAUUACGUCCCUGCCCUUUGUACAUACCGCCCGUCGCUACUACCGAUUGGAUGGUUUAGUGAGAUCCUCGGAUUGGUCCCGGAGCGGCCUCUGGUCGUGCCGGAGUGCCGAAAAGAAUGUCGAACUUGAUCAUCUAGAGGAAGUAAAAGUCGUAACA
This 330-nucleotide ribosomal RNA is filed under the name uncultured eukaryote. Its description in RNAcentral is "partial 18S ribosomal RNA". It matches the Rfam family "Eukaryotic small subunit ribosomal RNA", at positions 1470 to 1796 of the family's 1831-position model. The record is from RNAcentral.